Molecule: long non-coding RNA, 265 nt
Filed under: Nicotiana benthamiana
Lineage: Eukaryota; Viridiplantae; Streptophyta; Magnoliopsida; Solanales; Solanaceae
Description: long non-coding RNA (NBEN_LNC001454)
Source: RNAcentral
AUCCUCACUAGUGCAGUAUUGAUGCCAAAGUGCAGCACGAUCAACAUUUGCAAGUUCAGCCACCUCCCUCAUCAUGCUGAGAACUGGUCUAACAAUUUCUUGCUCCUCGUGAAUCAAGAUUACCAAAAUCUCCAAAUCUAAAUCUACUUCACGUGCACCUUCUGUCAAACUUGUGGCACGAUCAACAAGCCUCUUGAGGAUCCUCAAUCGGUAAGACUCGUCAGCAUACCAUUUGAACAAAAUGGUGUAAAGCAACUUUACAAAA